AUCAUACGCUCACUUGAUGGUGCCCCCUAUCGGGGGUGAAAAGGGAAGAUCGGUGCAAGGCCGUCGCUGCCCCCGCAACUGUAAGUGUCCAUCGCGUUCCGCUGGAGCCUCUGCUUCAGGGUCAGUCACUGGUUCCUCUCGGGAAUCGGGAAGGCUCGGAACGGUGCCUGAGCAUCGGCCAAUGGUCGGUGCAGGGCUUGGGUGCAAGCCAGGAGACCUGCCAUCGCAAGGAGAUUAAG
This 239-nucleotide non-coding RNA is filed under the name Acetobacter syzygii. Lineage: Bacteria; Pseudomonadati; Pseudomonadota; Alphaproteobacteria; Acetobacterales; Acetobacteraceae. The record is from RNAcentral.